Molecule: small RNA, 78 nt
Filed under: Arabidopsis thaliana (thale cress)
Lineage: Eukaryota; Viridiplantae; Streptophyta; Magnoliopsida; Brassicales; Brassicaceae
Description: ATSL208160
Source: RNAcentral
CCAAUUUCUUUAGAGCGCAUGGAAAAGAGAUUGAUCUCGCUUACCAAAAAAAAUCACUUCUCUUUUAUUUCCUGUUUU